Pelobates cultripes (western spadefoot toad) is the source of this 767-nucleotide non-coding RNA. NCBI's taxonomy places the organism in Eukaryota, Metazoa, Chordata, Amphibia, Anura, Pelobatidae. The record is from the annotation of a GenBank genome assembly.
UAAAUGCCUUUGUCCAAUACCGGCACUUCAAAAUGGAAGGCAUACAUUGCCUCAGAGACCUGCUCCUUCCCGGAGAUUGGAUGGUCAAACUAGACUUGCAGGAUGCAUAUCUGACAGUCCCGAUAGCGGCAAUACACAGAGACCUACUCCAGUUCUUCUGGGGAACCAAGAAGUGGCGGUUCACGUGCCUUCCCUUCGGUCUGUCCUCUGCCCCCUGGUGUUUCACGAAGAUACUCAAACCAGUGGUGGCCUUCCUCAGACUACACGGAGUCCGCCUCAUCAUCUACCUGGACGACACCCUCAUACUCUCCGGGACACGGUCCCUUCUGCUAGAUCACUUAAAGUGGACCCUACAUCUUAUCCAGAACCUGGGCUUCCUUGUAAACUGGAAGAAAUCGGUUCUAAUCCCCUCGCAACAAAUGGAAUUCCUUGGAUUCUGAGUCGACUCCGUUCUACAGAUCCUACGCCUCCCGGCGGAGAAGAUGUCCAACAUCAAAAAGGAGACUUAUGCACCGACCAGACAUAUCCCUACGCCAACUGGCACGGGUCAUUGGCCUGUUGGCAGCCUCUAUCCAAGCGAUUUUCCCAGGCCCGCUCCACUACCGAGCGUUACAGCGCCUGAAACCAACCUGUCUACGAAGUGGUCACUUGUACAAAUCUCACGUUACCCUGGACAUGGAAUCCAGGGAGGAACUGAACUGGUGAUGGAGUCGGACCUGGUGAUACAGUCAGACGCCAGCUUACAUGGCUGGGGCGCGCGCUGCGGC